RNAcentral lists this ribosomal RNA (468 nucleotides) under uncultured bacterium. RNAcentral describes it as "partial 16S ribosomal RNA". It matches the Rfam family "Bacterial small subunit ribosomal RNA", at positions 28 to 507 of the family's 1533-position model. The record is from RNAcentral.
GACGAACGCUGGCGGCGUGCUUAACACAUGCCAGUCGAACGGAAAGGCCCUGCUUUUGUGGGGUGCUCGAGUGGCGAACGGGUGAGUAACACGUGAGUAACCUGCCCUUGACUUUGGGAUAACUUCAGGAAACUGGGGCUAAUACCGGAUAGGAGCUCCUGCUGCAUGGUGGGGGUUGGAAAGUUUCGGCGGUUGGGGAUGGACUCGCGGCUUAUCAGCUUGUUGGUGGGGUAGUGGCUUACCAAGGCUUUGACGGGUAGCCGGCCUGAGAGGGUGACCGGCCAAAAUGGGACUGAGAUACGGCCCAGAAGGCUACGGGAGGCAGCAGUGGGGAAUAUUGCACAAUGGGCGGAAGCCUGAUGCAGAAACGCGGCGUGCGGGAUGACGGCCUUCGGGUUGUAAACCGCUUUCGCCUGUGACGAAGCGUGAGUGACGGUAAUGGGUAAAGAAGCACCGGCUAACUACGUG